CCUACGGGAGGCAGCAGUAGGGAAUCUUUCACAAUGGGCGAAAGCCUGAUGGAGCAACGCCGCGUGCAGGAUGAAGGCCUUCGGGUUGUAAACUGCUUUUAUAAGCGAGAAAUAUGAUGGUAACUUAUGAAUAAGGAUCGGCUAACUACGUGCCAGCAGCCGCGGUCAUACGUAGGAUCCGAGCAUUAUCCGGAGUGACUGGGUGUAAAGAGUUGCGUAGGUGGCAUAAUAAGUAGCUAGUGAAAUCUGGUGGCUCAACCAUUCAGACUAUUAGCUAAACUGUUAAGCUCGAGACCGUUAGGGGUAACUGGAAUGUCUGGUGUAGGAGUGAAAUGCGUAGAUAUUAGAAAGAACACCAAUAGCGAAGGCAGGUUACUGGGACGGUUCUGACGCUAAGGCACGAAAGCGUAGGGAGCAAACGGGAUUAGAUACCCUUGUAGUC
Molecule: ribosomal RNA, 442 nt
Filed under: uncultured bacterium
Lineage: Bacteria
Description: partial 16S ribosomal RNA
Rfam family: Bacterial small subunit ribosomal RNA
Source: RNAcentral